RNAcentral lists this ribosomal RNA (534 nucleotides) under uncultured bacterium. Its description in RNAcentral is "bacterial SSU rRNA". It matches the Rfam family "Bacterial small subunit ribosomal RNA", at positions 8 to 523 of the family's 1533-position model. The record is from RNAcentral.
AGAGUUUGAUCCUGGCUCAGGACGAACGCUGGCGGCGUGCCUAAUACAUGCAAGUCGAGCGGAUGACAGAGGAGCUUGCUCCUCCUGAUUCAGCGGCGGACGGGUGAGUAACACGUGGGCAACCUGCCCUGUAGAUUGGGAUAACUCCGGGAAACCGGGGCUAAUACCGAAUAAUCCUUCGGACCUCAUGGUCCGAUGUUGAAAGGCGGCUUCGGCUGUCACUACAGGAUGGGCCCGCGGCGCAUUAGCUAGUUGGUGAGGUAACGGCUCACCAAGGCCACGAUGCGUAGCCGACCUGAGAGGGUGAUCGGCCACACUGGGACUGAGACACGGCCCAGACUCCUACGGGAGGCAGCAGUAGGGAAUCUUCCACAAUGGACGAAAGUCUGAUGGAGCAACGCCGCGUGAGUGAAGAAGGUUCUCGGAUCGUAAAACUCUGUUGUGAGGGAAGAACAAGUACCGGAGUAACUGCCGGUACCUUGACGGUACCUCAUUAGAAAGCCACGGCUAACUACGUGCCAGCAGCCGCGGUAA